This 218-nucleotide long non-coding RNA is filed under the name Trifolium pratense (red clover). RNAcentral describes it as "long non-coding RNA (TPRA_LNC013262)". The record is from RNAcentral. Lineage: Eukaryota; Viridiplantae; Streptophyta; Magnoliopsida; Fabales; Fabaceae.
AGCAACAAUUUACGUCAAGCUACUAUAAAUCCAUUAAAAUUACCUUUUCAUAUAAGAAGUAUCCUUUCAAUAAAAUUCUCUUAUUUCAAAAACCUGCUUAUGUUAGUUUAAAGAAAGGUUAACCAUAAAAAAUUACAAAAUAUUAGAAGAAGAUAUAUAUGAAAAGGUAUUAAAAAAUAAAGUGGAAGAAACAAUAUACGGUUUGCAUGCACCUUUGC